This is a non-coding RNA of Myotis brandtii (Brandt's bat), 75 nucleotides long. Lineage: Eukaryota; Metazoa; Chordata; Mammalia; Chiroptera; Vespertilionidae. The record is from Rfam.
UGUGGUUCUUGGGUGACGCACCUGGAACCAGAGAGGAGGGAGCCUGAUUCCUGGGUGUGUCACCUGAGAACUGCC